GAUGAAGAACGUAGCGAAAUGCGAUAAGUAAUGUGAAUUGCAGAAUCCAGUGAAUCAUCGAAUCUUUGAACGCACAUUGCGCCCGCCAGCAUUCUGGCGGGCAUGCCUGUUCGAGCGUCAUUUCAACCCUCGACCUCCCUUUGGGGAAGUCGGCGUUGGGGACCGGCAGCACACCGCCGGCCCUGAAAUGGAGUGGCGGCCCGUCCGCGGCGACCUCUGCGUAGUAAUCCAACUCGCACCGGAACCCCGACGCGGCCACGCCGUAAAACACCCAACUUCUGAACGUUGACCUCGAAUCAGGUAGGACUACCCGCUGAAUUUAAGCAUAUCAAUAAGCGGAGGA
RNAcentral lists this unclassified non-coding RNA (343 nucleotides) under soil metagenome. Its description in RNAcentral is "partial contains 5.8S ribosomal RNA, internal transcribed spacer 2, and large subunit ribosomal RNA". The stretch from base 1 to 120 matches the Rfam family "5.8S ribosomal RNA", at positions 35 to 154 of the family's 154-position model. The record is from RNAcentral.